Molecule: transfer RNA, 88 nt
Filed under: Chloroflexota bacterium
Lineage: Bacteria; Bacillati; Chloroflexota
Description: Chloroflexi bacterium (hot springs metagenome) tRNA-Ser
Rfam family: tRNA
About the family: Transfer RNA (tRNA) molecules are approximately 80 nucleotides in length.
Source: RNAcentral
GGAGAGGUGCCAGAGCGGCCUAUCGGGACAGUCUUGAAAACUGUUGUGGCGGUCACCGUCACCGUGGGUUCGAAUCCCACCCUCUCCG